This 497-nucleotide ribosomal RNA is filed under the name uncultured bacterium. RNAcentral's name for it is "partial 16S ribosomal RNA". It matches the Rfam family "Bacterial small subunit ribosomal RNA", at positions 28 to 507 of the family's 1533-position model. The record is from RNAcentral.
GAUGAACGCUGGCGGCGUGCCUAAUACAUGCAAGUCGAGCGAACAGACGAGGAGCUUGCUCCUCUGACGUUAGCGGCGGACGGGUGAGUAACACGUGGAUAACCUACCUAUAAGACUGGGAUAACUUCGGGAAACCGGAGCUAAUACCGGAUAAUAUAUUGAACCGCAUGGUUCAAUAGUGAAAGACGGUUUUGCUGUCACUUAUAGAUGGAUCCGCGCCGCAUUAGCUGGUUGGUAAGGUAACGGCUUACCAAGGCAACGAUGCGUAGCCGACCUGAGAGGGUGAUCGGCCACACUGGAACUGAGACACGGUCCAGACUCCUACGGGAGGCAGCAGUAGGGAAUCUUCCGCAAUGGGCGAAAGCCUGACGGAGCAACGCCGCGUGAGUGAUGAAGGUCUUCGGAUCGUAAAACUCUGUUAUUAGGGAAGAACAAAUGUGUAAGUAACUAUGCACGCCUUGACGGUACCUAAUCAGAAAGCCACGGCUAACUACGUG